Molecule: unclassified non-coding RNA, 431 nt
Filed under: Erythranthe inconspicua
Lineage: Eukaryota; Viridiplantae; Streptophyta; Magnoliopsida; Lamiales; Phrymaceae
Description: partial external transcribed spacer
Source: RNAcentral
CUUGGCGUGUAUGGGCAUGUCGGAUCCUGCUCGGGCAGCGACGCAUCUUCUGCGCGCAUUUUCAAUUGUCGGUUCAAGUGUGAGUUCACCUUGGCCGAUGUCGGUUUUCUGUGUUGCGUACCUGUCCCGGAGGUAUAUGGUCGGCUAAAAAUGUCCCGUUUCCGUCCUACAUUGCGCCCCUCCAAGGGCGCGGCGUGGGAUGGACUGUGAAGGUCCGUUGUGUUCCAUAUCCAACACGUCAUUGUGUUUGGGUUGUUGGCGCAUGGCGGCAUGCUCGAUCUUUCGGAUGCGGAAAAUUGAGUGGGUACGAGGCGUUUGCUCUCUAUUUGCCCCANAAAGAAAAAAAAAGCGUCUCACGCUCUUAGCGAACGACGACCGAAGCCGUAUUGAUCGGUCCUUGUGGUUGCCUCAUGCGGGUCGUGUCGUGAGAA